RNAcentral lists this ribosomal RNA (497 nucleotides) under uncultured bacterium. RNAcentral describes it as "partial 16S ribosomal RNA". It matches the Rfam family "Bacterial small subunit ribosomal RNA", at positions 28 to 507 of the family's 1533-position model. The record is from RNAcentral.
GAUGAACGCUGGCGGCGUGCCUAAUACAUGCAAGUCGAGCGAACAGAUAAGGAGCUUGCUCCUUUGACGUUAGCGGCGGACGGGUGAGUAACACGUGGAUAACCUACCUAUAAGACUGGGAUAACUUCGGGAAACCGGAGCUAAUACCGGAUAACAUAUUGAACCGCAUGGUUCAAUAGUGAAAGGCGGCUUUGCUGUCACUUAUAGAUGGAUCCGCGCCGUAUUAGCUGGUUGGUAAGGUAACGGCUUACCAAGGCAACGAUACGUAGCCGACCUGAGAGGGUGAUCGGCCACACUGGAACUGAGACACGGUCCAGACUCCUACGGGAGGCAGCAGUAGGGAAUCUUCCGCAAUGGGCGAAAGCCUGACGGAGCAACGCCGCGUGAGUGAUGAAGGUCUUCGGAUCGUAAAACUCUGUUAUCAGGGAAGAACAAAUGUGUAAGUAACUGUGCACAUCUUGACGGUACCUGAUCAGAAAGCCACGGCUAACUACGUG